RNAcentral lists this ribosomal RNA (254 nucleotides) under uncultured bacterium. RNAcentral's name for it is "partial 16S ribosomal RNA". It matches the Rfam family "Bacterial small subunit ribosomal RNA", at positions 524 to 777 of the family's 1533-position model. The record is from RNAcentral.
UACGGGGGGGGCAAGCGUUGUUCGGAAUUACUGGGCGUAAAGGGCUCGUAGGCGGCCAACUAAGUCGGAUGUGAAAUCCCCAGGCUUAACCUGGGAACUGCAUCCGAUACUGGAUGGCUUGAAUCCGGGAGAGGGAUGCGGAAUUCCAGGUGUAGCGGUGAAAUGCGUAGAUAUCUGGAGGAACACCGGUGGCGAAGGCGGCAUCCUGGACCGGCAUUGACGCUGAGGAGCGAAAGCCAGGGGAGCAAAACGGG